This 1580-nucleotide ribosomal RNA is filed under the name Enterococcus sp. HMSC056C08. Its description in RNAcentral is "bacterial LSU rRNA". It matches the Rfam family "Bacterial large subunit ribosomal RNA", at positions 1 to 1573 of the family's 2925-position model. The record is from RNAcentral. Lineage: Bacteria; Bacillati; Bacillota; Bacilli; Lactobacillales; Enterococcaceae.
GUUGAUAAGGUUAAGUGAAUAAGGGCGCACGGUGGAUGCCUUGGCACUAGGAGCCGAUGAAGGACGGGACUAACACCGAUAUGCUUUGGGGAGCUGUACGUAAGCUAUGAUCCAGAGAUUUCCGAAUGGGGGAACCCAACAUCUUUAAUAGGAUGUUACGAUUGUGUGAAUACAUAGCACAUUCGAGGUAGACGCAGAGAACUGAAACAUCUAAGUACCUGCAGGAAGAGAAAGAAAAUUCGAUUCCCUGAGUAGCGGCGAGCGAAACGGGAAAAGCCCAAACCAGCAAGCUUGCUUGUUGGGGUUGUAGGACUCCAAUAUGGUAGUUCUUUCAGAUAGUCGAAUGACUUGGAAAAGUCAGUCAAAGAGGGUAAAAACCCCGUAGACGAAAUGUGGAAGACACCUAGGAGGAUCCUGAGUACGGCGGAACACGAGAAAUUCCGUCGGAAUCCGGGAGGACCAUCUCCCAAGGCUAAAUACUCCCUAGUGACCGAUAGUGAACCAGUACCGUGAGGGAAAGGUGAAAAGCACCCCGGAAGGGGAGUGAAAUAGAACCUGAAACCGUGUGCCUACAACAAGUCAAAGCCCGUUAAUGGGUGAUGGCGUGCCUUUUGUAGAAUGAACCGGCGAGUUACGAUUGCAUGCGAGGUUAAGUUGAAGAGACGGAGCCGCAGCGAAAGCGAGUCUGAAUAGGGCGUUUGAGUAUGUAGUCGUAGACCCGAAACCAUGUGAUCUACCCAUGUCCAGGUUGAAGGUGCGGUAAAACGCACUGGAGGACCGAACCCACGUACGUUGAAAAGUGCGGGGAUGAGGUGUGGGUAGCGGAGAAAUUCCAAACGAACUUGGAGAUAGCUGGUUCUCUCCGAAAUAGCUUUAGGGCUAGCCUCGGAAUUGAGAAUGAUGGAGGUAGAGCACUGUUUGGACUAGGGGCCCAUCUCGGGUUACCGAAUUCAGAUAAACUCCGAAUGCCAUUCAUUCAUAUCCGGGAGUCAGACUGUGAGUGAUAAGAUCCAUAGUCGAAAGGGAAACAGCCCAGACCACCAGCUAAGGUCCCAAAAUAUAUGUUAAGUGGAAAAGGAUGUGGGGUUGCACAGACAACUAGGAUGUUGGCUUAGAAGCAGCCACCAUUUAAAGAGUGCGUAAUAGCUCACUAGUCGAGUGACCCUGCGCCGAAAAUGUACCGGGGCUAAACAUAUUACCGAAGCUGUGGAGUACACCUUUAGGUGUAUUGGUAGGAGAGCGUUCUAAGGGCGUUGAAGGCAGAUCGUGAGGACUGCUGGAGCGCUUAGAAGUGAGAAUGCCGGUAUGAGUAGCGAAAGACAGGUGAGAAUCCUGUCCACCGAAUGACUAAGGUUUCCUGGGGAAGGCUCGUCCGCCCAGGGUUAGUCGGGACCUAAGCCGAGGCCGACAGGCGUAGGCGAUGGAUAACAGGUUGAUAUUCCUGUACCCGUUGUUUUUGUUUGAGCAAUGGAGGGACGCAGGAGGCUAAGGAAUGCAGACGAUCGGAAAUGUCUGUCCAAGCAGUAAGUCUGAAGAGGAGUCAAAUGCUUCUUUUCUUAAGGACAAGCUGUGAUGGGGAG